Phrynosoma platyrhinos (Desert horned lizard) is the source of this 72-nucleotide non-coding RNA. The record is from the annotation of a GenBank genome assembly. NCBI's taxonomy places the organism in Eukaryota, Metazoa, Chordata, Lepidosauria, Squamata, Phrynosomatidae.
GCCAGUGUAGCCCAGUGGUUUGAGUGUUGGACUGUGACUCCAGAGACCAGGAUUCGAUUCCCAGCUCAGCCA